CCUACGGGAGGCAGCAGUGAGGAAUAUUGGUCAAUGGACGAGAGUCUGAACCAGCCAAGCCGCGUGAGGGAUGAAGGUUCUAUGUAUCGUAAACCUCUUUUAUAAGGGAAUAAAGACUGGGACGCGUCCCAUGUUGAGUGUACCUGAUGAAUAAGCAUCGGCUAACUCCGUGCCAGCAGCCGCGGUAAUACGGAGGAUGCGAGCGUUAUCCGGAUUUAUUGGGUUUAAAGGGUGCGCAGGCGGGCUUUUAAGUCAGCGGUGAAAGCCUGGGGCUCAACCAUGGGAUGGCCGUUGAAACUGGGAGUCUCGAGUAGGUGUGAAGCAUGCGGAAUGCGUGGUGUAGCGGUGAAAUGCAUAGAUAUCGCGCAGAACCCCGAUUGCGAAGGCAGCAUGCC
Molecule: ribosomal RNA, 395 nt
Filed under: uncultured bacterium
Lineage: Bacteria
Description: partial 16S ribosomal RNA
Rfam family: Bacterial small subunit ribosomal RNA
Source: RNAcentral